UAGGGAAUCUUCCGCAAUGGGCGAAAGCCUGACGGAGCAACGCCGCGUGAGUGAUGAAGGUCUUCGGAUCGUAAAACUCUGUUAUUAGGGAAGAACAAAUGUGUAAGUAACUAUGCACGUCUUGACGGUACCUAAUCAGAAAGCCACGGCUAACUACGUGCCAGCAGCCGCGGUAAUACGUAGGUGGCAAGCGUUAUCCGGAAUUAUUGGGCGUAAAGCGUGCGUAGGCGGUUUUUUAAGUCUGAUGUGAAAGCCCACGGCUCAACCGUGGAGGGUCAUUGGAAACUGGAAAACUUGAGUGCAGAAGAGGAAAGUGGAAUUCCAUGUGUAGCGGUGAAAUGCGCAGAGAUAUGGAGGAACACCAGUGGCGAAGGCGACUUUCUGGUCUGUAACUGACGCUGAUGUGCGAAAGCGUGGGGAUCAAACAGGAUUAGAUACCCUGGUAGUCCACGCCGUAAACGAUGAGUGCUAAGUGUUAGGGGGUUUCCGCCCCUUAGUGCUGCAGCUAACGCAUUAAGCACUCCGCCUGGGGAGUACGACCGCAAGGUUG
This 550-nucleotide ribosomal RNA is filed under the name uncultured bacterium. RNAcentral describes it as "bacterial SSU rRNA". It matches the Rfam family "Bacterial small subunit ribosomal RNA", at positions 355 to 896 of the family's 1533-position model. The record is from RNAcentral.